Phyllostomus discolor (pale spear-nosed bat) is the source of this 130-nucleotide small nucleolar RNA. RefSeq annotates it as small nucleolar RNA SNORA11. The record is from RefSeq and is a predicted model, not a curated record. The transcript has a single exon. NCBI's taxonomy places the organism in Eukaryota, Metazoa, Chordata, Mammalia, Chiroptera, Phyllostomidae.
AGGGUGUGCUCAGAGCAGGGAGCCUGAAGGAAUGGCUCCUCAGUUUACAACACACCCAACAGGAGCUCGGGGCCGCUGUGUGGAAGGGCACAGAACUUGUGCCCUUCCUGUGAGCAGACGCCCUACAUAU